RNAcentral lists this ribosomal RNA (273 nucleotides) under uncultured bacterium. RNAcentral's name for it is "partial 16S ribosomal RNA". It matches the Rfam family "Bacterial small subunit ribosomal RNA", at positions 524 to 796 of the family's 1533-position model. The record is from RNAcentral.
UACGAACCGUCCAAACGUUAUUCGGAAUCACUGGGCUUAAAGAGUCCGUAGGCGGCCAAUUAGGUGAGGUGUGAAAUCCCCCGGCUCAACCGAGGAAUUGCGCUUCAAACCGAUUGGCUAGAGGAAGAUAGAGGAAAGCGGAACUGAUGGUGGAGCGGUGAAAUGCGUUGAUAUCAUCAGGAACACCGGUGGCGAAAGCGGCUUUCUGGGUCUUUUCUGACGCUGAGGGACGAAAGCUAGGGGAGCGAACGGGAUUAGAAACCCUCGUAGUCC